Molecule: long non-coding RNA, 337 nt
Filed under: Mus musculus (house mouse)
Lineage: Eukaryota; Metazoa; Chordata; Mammalia; Rodentia; Muridae
Description: long non-coding RNA chr7:79512923-79513260
Source: RNAcentral
GGGUGGCAUUUCUCAGACCUCCCUCUUGGUAGGGUAUAGUUGCCUCACAAGUUAGAUGGAAGUUGAGGAACCAUGGCCACUCUCCAGGGUAGGCCGGGGUUACAAUGUCUGUCUACAAUGUCUGUUACAACGUCUGUCGGAGGUUGUUUUGUAAAGGACUUCUGGAGAGUGUAGCUCCAGUCCCUUGAAUUCUGGAUGUCUCUGGAAUCUAGUCUGAUUGUUCCCACCUCACCUCACCUCACCUCACCUCACCUCACCUCACCUCACCCUAUGGCUGCUCCAAUCUUUGCUGCCUCAGACAGCCUAGGCUAGAGCCAUGUCCCUUACCCUUCAUCUG